This 434-nucleotide unclassified non-coding RNA is filed under the name Hevea brasiliensis (rubber tree). Lineage: Eukaryota; Viridiplantae; Streptophyta; Magnoliopsida; Malpighiales; Euphorbiaceae. The record is from RNAcentral.
GCUGUCCUCCCAUAGGUUCAAACUAGAACACAAGUGAAAAAUUACAAGUCAGGAACCAAUGGUAAUUCAUUAGAUAUUAUGGUUCAUAGAACCAUAACUGAAAUGAAAAAUAAAAAGAACAAACGUAAAUUUACUCUUAAAAUAAACAUCAUUCAUUGUACACUACGACAUACCCCACAAUCCUCUCAACUGAAGAAAACUGUAACUGAAAAUGCAUAUUAGAGUUCUCCACCAAUAGCUACAUAAAGCUCUUCAUUCAGUAUAGAUAUUGUGAAAUACUAAUAACUAACAAGAGCAUCACAUCUUUCAAACCUGUACUUUAUUAAUGAGCUGAAGACGAGCAAAUAUCCAAAUUUUGGAAAGAGGGAAGUUUAAACAGUGAUAUCCAGAUAGAAAAUUUUCUGGCACUAUUGGGAUAAAGACUUAGUUGAGUU